Molecule: unclassified non-coding RNA, 390 nt
Filed under: soil metagenome
Description: partial contains 5.8S ribosomal RNA, internal transcribed spacer 2, and large subunit ribosomal RNA
Rfam family: 5.8S ribosomal RNA (bases 5-121)
Source: RNAcentral
GAUGAGAACGCAGCGAAAUGCGAUACUUGGUGUGAAUUGCAGAAUCCCGUGAACCAUCGAGUCUUUGAACGCAAGUUGCGCCCGAAGCCACUAGGCCGAGGGCACGCCUGCCUGGGCGUCACACGCCGUUGCCCCCCCAUCUACUCCUUCGGGAUUGCGGGGGGGCGGAUGAUGGCCUCCCGUGCGCCUAGCCGCGCGGUUGGCAUAAAUACCAAGUCCUCGGCGACGCACGCCACGACAAUCGGUGGUUGCGAAACCUCGGUUGCCCGUCGUGUGCGUUCGUCGCGCAUCGAGGGCUCGAAAAAAUGCUCGGCUCCGGCUGGGCUUUCAACGCGACCCCAGGUCAGGCGGGGUUACCCGCUGAAUUUAAGCAUAUCAAUAAGCGGAGGA